RNAcentral lists this ribosomal RNA (444 nucleotides) under uncultured bacterium. RNAcentral's name for it is "partial 16S ribosomal RNA". It matches the Rfam family "Bacterial small subunit ribosomal RNA", at positions 339 to 795 of the family's 1533-position model. The record is from RNAcentral.
CUACGGGACGCAGCAGUGGGGAAUAUUGCACAAUGGGCGAAAGCCUGAUGCAGCAACGCCGCGUGAGGGACGACGGCCUUCGGGUUGUAAACCUCUUUUAGCAGGGAAGAAGCGAAAGUGACGGUACCUGCAGAAAAAGCACCGGCUAACUACGUGCCAGCAGCCGCGGUAAUACGUAGGGUGCAAGCGUUGUCCGGAAUUAUUGGGCGUAAAGAGCUCGUAGGCGGUUUGUCGCGUCUGCUGUGAAAAUCCGAGGCGCAACCUCGGACCUGCAGUGGGUACGGGCAAACUAGAGUGCGGUAGGGGAGAUUGGAAUUCCUGGUGUAGCGGUGGAAUGCGCAGAUAUCAGGAGGAACACCAAUGGCGAAGGCAGAUCUCUGGGCCGUAACUGACGCUGAGGAGCGAAAGCGUGGGGAGCGAACAGGAUUAGAUACCCGUGUAGUC